RNAcentral lists this ribosomal RNA (639 nucleotides) under uncultured Actinomycetes bacterium. RNAcentral describes it as "bacterial SSU rRNA". It matches the Rfam family "Bacterial small subunit ribosomal RNA", at positions 232 to 885 of the family's 1533-position model. The record is from RNAcentral. Lineage: Bacteria; Bacillati; Actinomycetota; Actinomycetes.
CGCGGCCUAUCAGCUUGUUGGUGGGGUAAUGGCCUACCAAGGCAACGACGGGUAGCUGGUCUGAGAGGAUGAUCAGCCACACUGGGACUGAGACACGGCCUAGACUCCUACGGGAGGCAGCAGUGGGGAAUCUUGCGCAAUGGGCGAAAGCCUGACGCAGCAACGCCGCGUGCGGGAUGAAGGCCUUCGGGCUGUAAACCGCUUUCAGCAGGAACGAAAAUGACGGUACCUGCAGAAGAAGGAGCGGCCAACUACGUGCCAGCAGCCGCGGUGACACGUAGGCUCCAAGCGUUGUCCGGAUUUAUUGGGCGUAAAGAGCUCGUAGGCGGUUGAGUAAGUCGGGUGUGAAAACUCUGGGCUUAACCCGGAGACGCCAUCCGAUACUGCUCUGACUUGAGUUCAGGAGGGGAGUGGGGAAUUCCUAGUGUAGCGGUGAAAUGCGCAGAUAUUAGGAGGAACACCGGUGGCGAAGGCGCCACUCUGGACUGAAACUGACGCUGAGGAGCGAAAGCAUGGGUAGCAAACAGGAUUAGAUACCCUGGUGGUCCAUGCCGUAAACGGUGGGCACUAGGUGUGGGUUCCAACUAACGGGAUCCGCGCCGUCGCUAACGCAUUAAGUGCCCCGCCUGGGGAGUACGG